AACGGCCAUACCAUACUGAAAACACUGUUUUUCGUCUGAUCCCCGCAGUUAAGCAGCUUCGGGAGCUGUCAGUCCUUGGGAGGGCGAUCACCUGGGAAAACCGCGUGCUGUUU
Molecule: non-coding RNA, 113 nt
Organism: Araneus ventricosus
Lineage: Eukaryota; Metazoa; Arthropoda; Arachnida; Araneae; Araneidae
Source: the annotation of a GenBank genome assembly